GGUGAACGCUGGCGGCGUGCCUAAUACAUGCCAGUCGAGCGAACGGACGAGAAGCUUGCUUUUCUGAUGUUAGCGGCGGACGGGUGAGUAACACGUGGAUAACCUACCUAUAAGACUGGGAUAACUUCGGGAAACCGGAGCUAAUACCGGAUAAUAUUUUGAACCGCAUGGUUCAUAAGUGAAAGACGGUCUUGCUGUCACUUAUAGAUGGAUCCGCGCUGCAUUAGCUAGUUGGUAAGGUAACGGCUUACCAAGGCAACGAUGCAUAGCCGACCUGAGAGGGUGAUCGGCCACACUGGAACUGAGACACGGUCCAGACUCCUACGGGAGGCAGCAGUAGGGAAUCUUCCGCAAUGGGCGAAAGCCUGACGGAGCAACGCCGCGUGAGUGAUGAAGGUCUUCGGAUCGUAAAACUCUGUUAUUAGGGAAGAACAUAUGUGUAAGUAACUGUGCACAUCUUGACGGUACCUAAUCAGAAAGCCACGGCUAACUACGUG
RNAcentral lists this ribosomal RNA (497 nucleotides) under uncultured bacterium. RNAcentral's name for it is "partial 16S ribosomal RNA". It matches the Rfam family "Bacterial small subunit ribosomal RNA", at positions 28 to 507 of the family's 1533-position model. The record is from RNAcentral.